This 522-nucleotide ribosomal RNA is filed under the name Triticum aestivum (bread wheat). RNAcentral describes it as "partial small subunit ribosomal RNA". The record is from RNAcentral. Lineage: Eukaryota; Viridiplantae; Streptophyta; Magnoliopsida; Poales; Poaceae.
AUGGAUUUCGUGGAGGGGCUGCCGAAGUCUGAAGGCGCCGACGCAAUCAUGGUCGUCAUCGAUCGGCUGACCAAGUACGCGCACUUCGUGCCGCUUCGUCAUCCCUUCACCACCGUUCAGGUCGCGCGCGCCUUCUGGGAGCACAUCAUCAAGCUCCACGGAGUCCCACAUUCGAUCGUCUCCGACCGCGACAAGAUCUUCACAAGCACGAUGUGGCACGAAUUGCUCGCCGCCGCGGGAACCAAGCUACUCUACUCAAUCGCGUACCACCCCCAGACGGAUGGCCAAACUGAGCGCGUCAAUCAAUGCCUGGAGAUGUACCUGCGGUGUGUAGUCCACGACACGCCGCGGCAAUGCCGCAAGUGGCUACCGGCGGCAGAGUUCUGGUACAAUUCAGCGCAUCACGCCUCCCUGAAUUGCUCUCCUUUCAAGGAACUGUAUGGAAGAGAGCCCAAUUUGGGGGGAUUACCUCACCUGAGCACCGCGCUCCCCGGCGACGCGGCGUCCGACGAUCUGGACUAG